CAGUAGCCACGUAAUACGAAGGGUGCAAGCGUUAAUCGGAAUUACUGGGCGUAAAGCGUGCGUAGGCGGUGAGUUAAGUCUGCUGUGAAAUCCCCGGGCUCAACCUGGGAAUGGCAGUGGAUACUGGCUCGCUAGAGUGUGUCAGAGGAUGGUGGAAUUCCCGGUGUAGCGGUGAAAUGCGUAGAGAUCGGGAGGAACAUCAGUGGCGAAGGCGGCCAUCUGGGACAACACUGACGCUGAGGCACGAAAGCGUGGGGAGCAAACAGGAUUAGAUACCCCCGUAGUCCCUGUCUCUUAUACA
This 301-nucleotide ribosomal RNA is filed under the name uncultured bacterium. RNAcentral describes it as "partial 16S ribosomal RNA". It matches the Rfam family "Bacterial small subunit ribosomal RNA", at positions 509 to 808 of the family's 1533-position model. The record is from RNAcentral.